This 428-nucleotide ribosomal RNA is filed under the name uncultured bacterium. Its description in RNAcentral is "bacterial SSU rRNA". It matches the Rfam family "Bacterial small subunit ribosomal RNA", at positions 355 to 775 of the family's 1533-position model. The record is from RNAcentral.
UGGGGAAUAUUGGACAAUGGGCGAAAGCCUGAUCCAGCCAUGCCGCGUGUGUGAAGAAGGUCUUCGGAUUGUAAAGCACUUUAAGUUGGGAGGAAGGGUUGUAGAUUAAUACUCUGCAAUUUUGACGUUACCGACAGAAUAAGCACCGGCUAACUCUGUGCCAGCAGCCGCGGUAAUACAGAGGGUGCAAGCGUUAAUCGGAAUUACUGGGCGUAAAGCGCGCGUAGGUGGUUCGUUAAGUUGGAUGUGAAAGCCCCGGGCUCAACCUGGGGACUGCAUUCAAAACUGACGAGCUAGAGUAUGGUAGAGGGUGGUGGAAUUUCCUGUGUAGCGGUGAAAUGCGUAGAUAUAGGAAGGAACACCAGUGGCGAAGGCGACCACCUGGACUGAUACUGACACUGAGGUGCGAAAGCGUGGGGAGCAAACAG